GCUUUAUGAAAAAAUCAACUGUUGUGUGCAAAAAAAAAGAACAAAAAAAGUGUAACAUUGAUUAACUUUUUCCAAAUUUAAUGUCUGACUUAAUAGAAGAUGUUUGUAUUCCCAUGUCUGCUUUUGUAUUAAAUCAAUUCAUAUAUCAUAGUUAUAUAUAGGCUCCAAAAAAACCUUACUGUACCCUACCGAGAGGAAGAAAUCUAAAACAACAAAUGUUUUAUGAUGAUGAUGAUGAUGAUGCCAAUAGUAUUAACCUUGGAAACUCCGUAACAGUGUAUCAGAGUUCUCCCUCGGAAUCACUAGACCACAUUUGGAGAUUAGAAUAGUGGAUCCUGGAAGUAAAUCCAUGUGCUGGUUAAUUUCAGGAGUCAUCUCAACUGGACUAAGUAAUACCUAGACAACUGACAGAGAGAAAAAGGCUUUGCUGAUAAACUUAAAUGUGGGGUGUGAAAAAGGAAGGCAUCAAGGAUGACCACAAGGUUUGGGUCCUAAGAAACUGUACAGGCAUGAGCCACCAUGCCAGGCCCACACAUUUAUUAUUGUCCUGCCUACUCUGCAUCUCCACAGCGAUUUCUAGUAAGCUCCUCAACCUGAAUAUAUCCAAACCUGACCUUGGGUUCUAUGCUGGCUCCUCUCCUGGCCUCCAAAAUCCACUUUACCCUCAGUUUCCUCACCUCGGUGGAUGUUGUCUUCAGGGCAGGUGGAUUUAGGAGCCAUCAGUGCAGGGCUCAGAAUGGAGCCUUUCAGAAUGGAUGACAGUGAAAUCCAUUGAGGGUUAAAACAUACAGGUGCUGUGCUAACUUUUCCUUAAAUAACUUACAGAGCAAUUCUCAUUUCCAUUCUGCAGACACAGAAACAGAGGCUUUGAGUAAUUAGUUAACUGGCUUUCGGUUCCAGGGCUAAUGAGUUGUGGAUGACAACACACGAAGAUAGAAAAAAAAGCCUAGAGACAGUAGAUAGUGAGCCAGCUUGCCUGGGACAUGCUGACAGAUAGCCAGAUUUAGCAUAAAGAAAAUUUGUGUUCAUGAGCAUUCCUGAAGGCAACAAGAGGUAAGAUAACCAUGAUAAAUGGAUAUUUCUUGACGAGACUAAAUAAAGGAGACAGAUUUCUGGGCAAUUUGUCACACCUACUACAUGCAGGACACUGCACUAGAUCUUAUGAAAAACAGAAGAUAGGAUCAAGUGCCUAGGUCUUGAAGGAGGGCUAAGUGCACUUUGCACUUAGCAUACAUUCUUGUGACUUACUCUUUGAUACACUGUUGUAAACAAACUGCAUGUAUUAAUCAUUCCAUCCUCACAAUGGCAACCCUAAAAGUCAAAUACUAUUACUGUCCUUAUUUUACAGAUAGAAAACUGGGGCACAGAGAUGGUAGGUACCUGGCCCAGGCCACCUGGCUUCAGAAUUAGUGCUCUUAUCCAGUUCAUUGUGCAAUCUCUCCUCACUAAUUUUGAACUUUAGCAGCUGAGACCUACUAGAUAAUAGGUUCUCAAUAAAAAUUUGUUGAAUCACUGAAUUCAUUUCUAUUUCCCAUCCAUUUCUUUCCCAAGACUUCUUUCCCAGAGUUCUGUAUAAAGGACUGCAUGAGAAAUGGACCCAGGAGCCUCAUACUUUGGAAAGUACAAAGUUCAAAGAUACAAAGUAUUGGGCUCAGAAACUCCUAAUCUGAAGCUUAGCACCUUAGCUGCUUCUCUCUGUCAAAGUGACUUGGAUCCUGCAGGUAAGGAUGGGGUGAUUGUUCUUACUGAUACAAUUUCAAGCCAUACACCUACUGAUAGACUAUGAAUUUAAAAAUAAAUGAACAAUUAAAUAAGGAUGAUGGAUAGAUAUGGAAUGAACAGUAGUAUGGAUUAUAAUAAAGAAAGUUUAGUAAAAUAUUAACCAUAUCACUACAAUCUACAUGGUAGAUACAUUGGUAUUCCUGAAAAUUCUUUCACCUUUGCUUUAUGUUUUAGAAGUUUUAUGAUAAAAUGUUGGGAAGGAAACGGGGGGAGGGAAAAUUUGUGUUAUUCUGCUCAUAACAGAGACCAGAAAUACCACUGGUUUAAACAAAACAAGGGUUUUCUUGUUUUAUUUUGUUUCGUAAAAUGAAUUUAGAUGGUGACAGUCCAGGGCUGAUCUGGCAGCUCAGAGGUGUCAUUCAGGCCCCAGCCUGCUUCUGACUUCAUUCUCUGCUGUCUCUGAAUGCGGCUUCCAACCUCAGGGUUGCCUCAUCAUCCUAGGAAGACUGCUGCACCUCCAUUUCAAUAGUCUACAUCCUAGGCAAGAGGAAGAAGGAAGUACAUAAAGAGUAUCCUCACACUCCCAGCUAUUUUGGCCUCCCUCUUAAAGGAUCUCUGGGAGAAGCACGAGCCCACAACUUUCACUUACAAACCAUUGGUUCCAAAUUAGUCCCUUGGUCUCAGUAUCUACAAGAUAGAGGAGCAAUUUGCAGUAGUCAAGAAAAUUAGGCCUUAUCACCAAGAAGAAAGGGGGAAUGCAUGAUGCAGAAGCGACCAUCCUUCUCAACAAGAUACCACACAGCCUAAAUUCAAGCUCUUACGAUAUAAUCAAAUUCCAUCAGCCCAGUCACAUCUUAGCCUUAGGAGCUUUGAUCACUGACUUGCAAAUCCAAAAGUGUUUUGUGACCCUAGGCCACAGGAAGAACCAGUUUGUCCCACAGACCUCUUACAGAGAUGGCAUUCACAGUAUGUCUAGAGUCCAGCUUCAGAGAAUAUGUACUCCACUGGCAGCACGAAAAAGAAAUACACAGGAAAAUGCAGUAUAGCACAAACCAGCACUUGAGGACGAAUGAAGAUGCUUAGAAUCACGUGCACUAAAAAUGUCCUGAAAAGGGUAAAACGUGUCAAGCAGUACUGCCUCUGGAAACCAGAAAAAUUUUAUUUGGUAACAGAUCCUGAGCCUGGAUGCUGGAGGUGCUUAAAAAUGUGCAUCGUAUCUGGUUUUCUUUCCAUUUAUACAUUUAUUUGACACUGUGGUAAAAUAUGCUUCUCCUUCAUGUACCCAUAUUCAUGCAAGCAAAUGUUAACAGACUGCUACAAUAGCAUUUUAAUUAGUGCACAUCUUUCUCUCUUCACCACAUUAUAAGCUUUUCCCAUUUUAUUCUGCUGAUAUUUCUAUUAUGAUAAAAGACUUAAGACAAGUAAAUAUGUAGAAAUACGUACAUACAUGUACACGCAAGAAUGAUUCAAACAGAUAAACACAGAGAAACACAAACACUAAGCUGGAAUUUUUCUUCAACCUGUACAAUGUACUUUCAGUUUUCAUUUCAACCUUCCUGAGUGGUUUCUGCCCAGCAACUGAUGAGAAACAUCACCUCUGAGCCAAU
Long non-coding RNA from Sapajus apella (tufted capuchin), 3329 nucleotides. RefSeq lists it as uncharacterized. The transcript has 2 exons. The record is from RefSeq and is a predicted model, not a curated record. NCBI's taxonomy places the organism in Eukaryota, Metazoa, Chordata, Mammalia, Primates, Cebidae.